This is a long non-coding RNA of Telopea speciosissima, 90 nucleotides long. RefSeq lists it as uncharacterized. The record is from RefSeq and is a predicted model, not a curated record. The transcript is spliced from 3 exons. Lineage: Eukaryota; Viridiplantae; Streptophyta; Magnoliopsida; Proteales; Proteaceae.
GAGAGAGAAGGGCAAAGGGUCCUUAUCAGACAACAAUGGAGAACCGUGUAAGAUCAGAAGAACAAAGACAAAGGCUUCGUUCUUACAUUG